Small nuclear RNA from Bos grunniens (domestic yak), 104 nucleotides. The record is from Ensembl. Lineage: Eukaryota; Metazoa; Chordata; Mammalia; Artiodactyla; Bovidae.
GUGCUCGCUUCAGCAGCACAUACACUAAAAUUGGAACGAUACAGAGAUUAGCAUGGCCCCUGUGCAAGGAUGACACGCAAAUUCGUGAAGUGUUCCAUAUUUUU